This is a long non-coding RNA of Syngnathus typhle (broad-nosed pipefish), 886 nucleotides long. RefSeq lists it as uncharacterized. The transcript is spliced from 3 exons. Lineage: Eukaryota; Metazoa; Chordata; Actinopteri; Syngnathiformes; Syngnathidae. The record is from RefSeq and is a predicted model, not a curated record.
AAGUUGUCAAGGGUCCUGCAAGCACAGUGAAGACGACGGGCCUGUGGUCAUUAUGAGGCAGUUGAAAGGAAAACCCAAAAAAGAGACAUCCAAGGACAAGAAGGAGCGAAAGCAGGCCAUGCAGGAAGCACGACAACAGGUUUAAUAUGUUGUUGUCACGUUCCUGCGUCACCUGACUUCCAGCCAAGCCCCAAUCAAGGAAUUGCCAGCACCUGCUACAGCUCGUUAAGUCCCCUACUUAACCUCUGUAUUCUGCCAAUGGUUGUCAGUUCGUCUGGUUACCCUGCCCGUGACACCACUGCCUUUUUUUUUGUCCCCUGAACGAUCUCUGUUGCCAACUGCUUCCGUAAACUGACCGACCACGCUUUGAUCGCCGCCUGCCCCGACUACUUGCUCGUCCUUUGACCACGCUUCUGAUCGCCGCCUACCUCGGCCACCUGCCUGCCUCCGACUAUGACUACGCACUGUGCUCUGCUGCUUAACCACGCCAGCCAGAUUGCAAGUCCAGCGUUCCACUUCCCCUUUCCCCCCUUUUCAGUGAAGGAUCGUGCUGCACUUGGUCGACCUGGCUCUGUUCCGUGACAGUUGUGAUUGUGUCCUUGAAGUUUUUCACAUGACAACCAUUAUUGAGAUAAAAUGAUAAUCAUCAAGAUCAUUUUAAAUUGUUAAAAAUAUUUGCAUUGUUUUGUUUUUUAAUGAAAUACAGAAAAUUGUUAAGAAUUCUGCUGCAUGAGUAGUGAUAAUUACUUAAAAUCAGGUAAUGAUUAAUUUGUAUUUACAAUAUUAACAAAUCUAUUUUCCCAAUGAUAUUCAUAGCGAGGAUUCAGAUCAAUCUUGUGUUUUUUUUUUUUAGGAAACAAAAGUGUAUGAAGGUUUCUUUGCUGUA